Molecule: long non-coding RNA, 753 nt
Filed under: Lupinus angustifolius (narrow-leaved blue lupine)
Lineage: Eukaryota; Viridiplantae; Streptophyta; Magnoliopsida; Fabales; Fabaceae
Description: long non-coding RNA (LANG_LNC000989)
Source: RNAcentral
UUGAGAAAAUAUUUUUUUAAAAGCUAGGCUGCAUCUCCGGUAAGAAAUAGAACGAAAUUAAGUCUAAAGCAUGAAAGCCAAGAUACCUCAAAUUGAAAUUGUAGUCAUGAGUAGAGUUCCGAACUUCAUAAGUUGAGAAUCUAAUUAAUCUGUUGGUGAUUGAGUGAUUGAAGCUGCAAGAUGACCUGAUAGAACCACGUCUCUUAUAACCUAUUGCCCUAGUAUCCCUAAAAUAUACAAUAAGCCUAAGCCUCACUAGAUGGUGUCGGGUUAUAUGGAUCGAACCAAUCAGAGUAUUUUAUAUAAAUUAUGUCAAUUGACAAAACAUUGUUCUCUAACUUUUUUCAAAAUUGUUUCAUUCAUGAGUUUUUUCUUGGCUACUCAAGAAAACACUUCAGAUUUAAAACACUUACAAAACUAAGCCAGGUAAAAUUAACUCUUGUUCUUUUUAACCACUAAUACUACCACUAAUCUUGAAUCUAAACUUAAACCAACAGAAGAGAUUUUCUCUAAUUAAUUACUAUUAAUUCCUAGUGAUAAACUAGGAAUGAAGAAUAUAAAGUGUUUGGUUAAUUACCAGAUCAUGCUGGCAGCUUCAACCUCUCAAACCAGCAUACUUGUGAAUAGAGAGAUCGAUGAACACUAUUGGUACCCUUUAAUUGAAUCUCCAAAAAUUGCAUGACUCAUGCAUGUUUGGAGUAAAGAAAGCCCUCCAGAUACAUAUAAAUGCUUGACUGUGCAGCUUCAAUGUCU